RNAcentral lists this ribosomal RNA (999 nucleotides) under uncultured bacterium. Its description in RNAcentral is "bacterial SSU rRNA". It matches the Rfam family "Bacterial small subunit ribosomal RNA", at positions 355 to 1375 of the family's 1533-position model. The record is from RNAcentral.
UGGGGAAUAUUGGGCAAUGGGCGAAAGCCUGACCCAGCAACGCCGCGUGAAGGAAGAAGGUCUUCGGAUUGUAAACUUUUGUCUUAUGGGACGAUAAUGACGGUACCAUAAGAGGAAGCCACGACUAACUACGUGCCAGCAGUCGCGGUAAUACGUAGGUGGCGAGCGUUAUCCGGAAUUAUUGGGUGUAAAGGGUGCGUAGGCGGGUCGUAAAGUCAGAUGUGAAAUGCGGAGGCUCAACCUCCGAACUGCAUUUGAAACUUACGAUCUUGAGUGGAGUAGAGGCAAGCGGAAUUCCCGGUGUAGCGGUGAAAUGCAUAGAUAUCGGGAGGAACACCAGUGGCGAAGGCGGCUUGCUGGGCUUUUACUGACGCUGAGGCACGAAAGUGUGGGGAGCAAACAGGAUUAGAUACCCUGGUAGUCCACACCGUAAACGAUGAUUACUAGGUGUAGGCCGGCUGAACCAGUCUGUGCCGCAGUUAACACAAUAAGUAAUCCACCUGGGGAGUACGGCCGCAAGGUUGAAACUCAAAGGAAUUGACGGGGGCCCGCACAAGCAGUGGAGUAUGUGGUUUAAUUCGACGCAACGCGAAAAACCUUACCAGGUCUUGACAUCCGACUAACGAAGUAGAGAUACAUUAGGUGCCUUUCGGGGAAAGUUGAGACAGGUGGUGCAUGGUUGUCGUCAGCUCGUGUCGUGAGAUGUUGGGUUAAGUCCCGCAACGAGCGCAACCCUUGUUGUCAGUUGCUACGCAAGAGCACUCUGGCAAGACUGCCGUUGACAAAACGGAGGAAGGUGAGGAUGACGUCAAAUCAUCAUGCCCUUUAUGACCUGGGCUACACACGUACUACAAUGGCGGUAAACAAAGAGGAGCGAAGUCGUGAGGCAGAGCAAAUCUCCAAAAGCCGUCUCAGUUCAGAUUGCAGGCUGAAACUCGCCUGCAUGAAGUUGGAAUUGCUAGUAAUCGUGAAUCAGCAUGUCACGGUGAAUACGUUCCC